This 464-nucleotide ribosomal RNA is filed under the name uncultured bacterium. Its description in RNAcentral is "partial 16S ribosomal RNA". It matches the Rfam family "Bacterial small subunit ribosomal RNA", at positions 28 to 507 of the family's 1533-position model. The record is from RNAcentral.
GACGAACGCUGGCGGCGUGCUUAACACAUGCAAGUCGAACGGAAAGGCCCCUUUGGGGGUACUCGAGUGGCGAACGGGUGAGUAACACGUGAGUAACCUGCCCUUGACUUCGGGAUAACUUCAGGAAACUGGGGCUAAUACCGGAUAGGAAUCCUUGCUGCAUGGUGGGGGUUGGAAAGCUUCGGGGGUUUUGGAUGGACUCGCGGCUUAUCAGCUUGUUGGUGGGGUAGUGGCUUACCAAGGCUUUGACGGGUAGCCGGCCUGAGAGGGCGACCGGCCACAUUGGGACUGAGAUACGGCCCAGACUCCUACGGGAGGCAGCAGGGGGGAAUAUUGCAAAAUGGGCGGAAGCCUGAUGCAGCAACGCCGCGUGCGGGAUGACGGCCUUCGGGUUGUAAACCGCUUUCGCCUGGGGCGAAGCGUGUGUGACGGUAACGUGAAAAGAAGCAACGGCUAAAUACGUG